This is a long non-coding RNA of Haplochromis burtoni (Burton's mouthbrooder), 4197 nucleotides long. RefSeq lists it as uncharacterized. The record is from RefSeq and is a predicted model, not a curated record. The transcript is spliced from 3 exons. Lineage: Eukaryota; Metazoa; Chordata; Actinopteri; Cichliformes; Cichlidae.
CGUGUGCUGGAAAUGGUGGGGUGGAGACACGAUCGUGCUUGAUUACUUUCCAGCUCGUCCAGUGGAAGAAAAAUUAAAUAGGACUCAUCGUGACAUCCACAGAAAGGGGAAACAAUAGUAGGGUACCUUGGGAGACAUCAGUGAAAUCGCCCUGGGAGAAAAUAACAGCAGCAAUAUCUAUCCCCAGCCAGAGAAAUUAAGAGCAGACGCUGGCAUCCAUUACAGCUCCUGACGGUAAGCAGUUUAGCUCAGCUUGCUGUAAAUCACUGCCACUGGAGACACACGCUCUGCACUGGCUUUAUAUGUGGUUUUUAUCUCCACAUAUUCUUGAUUUAUCAGCUGUUCCCUCUUGGCAAGAAAUAAUGGUACCACAGCUUCACCUGGUGGAGUGCCUCUGCUCUAAAGAAUUUAUUGAUUUAUUCACCAAGAGCAAGCUAUUUCUUGCAUACAGUCGAAGCCAUCUGAUGUUUGUCCUGCAUCGGAAAGGGUGUGUGUCUCUUUAACAUCUUAUAAAAGCGCUGCAGGGAGGCAUAGACUUGUUCAUUUUCAAUUAGCCAGAGACUCACAUUAACUGAAGAUAUUAAAGAGGAGAGUAAUACUGUUGUACAAGCCAAUAGUCUGUGAAGGCUGGAAUCUGCUGAGCCUGCAUUGUGUACACGCAAUAGACAGACACAAAUACACACCGAGCCACAUAGGAGCGUAUCUGGUUUGAAAUUCAAAGGUACAUUCCCAGAUGUAUGUUCGCUUAGGGACAGCCGUGCAUAAGUGGCUUUACAUUUGCCUUUGGUGGUACCUGUUUGGCUCACUGUGUUGCUCCCUACAGGACAGCAGGCAGCACGCUGAGGAUUCAUAGGGGAACACUGUCAAACACCCUGCCGCAUAUAUAGAAGAGCUUCCAGAAGACUUACACAUAAGAUACUCCAACAUAUGCAUAAAUUCAGCACACAGCUCUGCAGAGCCCUAUGAUCCUACAAUAUUAAUUAAAGGAGAGGAAGCUGGGUUGGUGGAUAGAUUAACAAGAGUGCAGCCAGAAACUGCAGGAGAAGAAGGAAAAUUUGGAAGACUAAUUUAACCACCUUGCUGACACGUGUUUCAUUUGGUCAGCUAUCAACUGGCAUGGUGAGCAUAACUGUCUGGCUUAAACUGCUACAAGCUACCAAGGGGAGCGAAAAAUUUAUAUACACAUUUUACUGCACAUACCUCGCAUGCACAAUAUUUAAUUCACUUGGCUUGAUGCAUAGCUACUGCAUUUUAAAUAUCUCUGUGACUGUUAAUAGAUAUGUGAGUGAACCUAUUUCAGGGUUGAUCCAAAUUAUUGUUGUCCCUCUAUAUCUUCCUGGAAUGGAAUAUCAGCAGAUCCUAUAACUAUUAACUACUGAGACAAUGAUGCCCUUAUACUCCUUGUUAUUCAUAGUCAGGCCAAUAAACAGCAAAUAAGCUGCUGUAAUACUCAAACUGCCCCGUUAAUGUCAACAGAAAAGCUGGGCAUGAGGAUGUAUGUCUUUGUAGCCCCACUAACAAUACGGGCCAGUGGAUUUCUAUGACGACGAGUGUGGUUAAAAUAUUUUUACAACUCAGAAUUGCAUUAGCUGCAUAUGCUGGUUAUCUCUUGACCUUGCUCUGUAGCACCUUGAGGAGGUUUAAAGUGCUAUCUAGUGAAAUAUCUGGACAUCUAGUAAACUGAUUAAACUUACCUAUUGAUCAUUCACCUUGACCACAGUCAAAAUUCUUCAGUUUUCGUUGGAUCCAGCUUAGCAUGCUAAAAUGAUAAAUACUGUCAGUCUAAAAGGGUUAUUCAGUAUAUUUGGCUGAAAAAUGUCCUUUGUUUGCCUCUUCUAUUUCUGUGUGUGUUGCUUCAGUGCUAAUGUGCAGAUGUCAGCGGUGCACCAAGGACAGAGGGGGUUCAAAGAGUCCUGUACUGAAGAGCACCACAAAGAGCUAAUGAGUAAUGCGCAGCACAACACCUUUAUGUUUCUUCUUUAAUGUGACUCUGGCUUAACAGCAGAAUAUUUGCAACGUCACCGUCUUUGCACAAUUAGGAUUUUAGCUUAAACAUCAACUAAUUGUAAGUACGGUUGCAUAGAGCAUACAGCUAAUAUGGCUACCAUCUGUUAGUCUUAGCCUUUUACCAAUUCUGAAUAUGAUAAGGAAAAUCAACAGCUCAAUUACUCUUUCUUUAGGCACUUAUAGGCUAGAUUGACAAAGUAGCUGCGAACAGAUCGGCUCAGUAGAAUCCAGAGCAGCUCCAAGUCCAAUUAAUAAAAGCAAGAGUAGUCUAAAUGAGCUGCGUGUUCAGUGAAUGAAUUAGUAGAAAAGCUAUUCAGUGGUGUAGAAUGUGGACAUCCAGCACGAUCACUCCACUAAUUACUAGAGACAAAGUAUACGAGAGAAAGACCCAGUCAGGGUUUGUCUUUAGCAUCAGGGUGCUGUCUGAAGUAUCUGCAUUGCUUACCUACUGAGCAGGGGAGAAAAACAGGACCCACCGAGGAAGCAUAAUUCACUUCUCAGCAAUAUUAUAGAAAUAUCAUAGAUCACCGCUUGUAUAAGCACUCAGCGUCCCACUGUUUGGUAAAUAUUGAUAAAGUUGCAUCAUUCAGAGGCAAAAGAAUGAAGCUCUUUGUCACACAGUCGAUGGAAUGAUUUUAUAUCCUGCCUUGUAGCAUGAUGGAUGAUGAAAUGAUGAAAUGCUGGCCUAAAAAACAAAAGUGAACAAACAAAACAGCAAACUCGGCUAGAAUACCCAAAGGACAGUCACUGGAGAAGGAAAAAGGAGAUUGAUAUUCUAUCAACACUGUUUGUUUGUUUUGCUGUAAAUCUACUGAGAAUAUGCCUGCACAUAUUAAUAGAAGGAAAGCUCUAUAUGACUGUCAGCAGUAUUGCUCCCCAGAAACUAUAUGUGGAGAUCAAAUAUUUGUACUGAUUUUGUCCAUGCUUUGGUAUUUGUAGCAAUACUAUGUUUGGUGGAGUGCAUAAUUUAUUUCCCUGCUGUUAAACUCUAGAAAUUGAAAUUUGAUCAAUAUCUCAACAAAUAGGCUGUGGCGUUUCCUGUAACAUAAUUUGAAGAACUAUUUUAUUGUUGUAUAGACAGCACUUCAAAUAUAUUUUUUUACGUAUAUGUUCCCUGUUGCUUGUAUGGUUUUUGUCAUGAAUUCACUCAGUGCUGCAGUUAUUAAUUAUAGGCAGCGGGUCAUUAUCUUGCAGCACUAUUACAGUGUAACUUUGACAAAAAAACAAAACAAACCCAAAACAAAAACAGCCUUCAAGCAUAAUAGAUUCGACUCAAGAAAGCUUCAGCUGUUGUUCAUACUGUAUGAAAUAAAUGGAAAACAAAGAACGCCUGGAGCGGUAGAAAAGAGCCCAAUCCAUUUUUAUAAAGUCAUACUAUUGUUUACAAAGCAAUAAGAUGUGUAAUGUUCAAGUAGAUGUUUAAGGUCAAAAACAGGAUCCAAACAAGGAGAACGAAAGACGGCCAGGCAAACAAGAAAUAACGACAAGAAAACUACACUUACUUUCCAGCCCAGCAUUAUGGCAAAGCGUGUAAUAGAUCCGUGGGUUGGACUCUGUGGGCAGCAUUUAUUUUUAAGGGAAUAUUAUUUUGUAUAUACAUAUAUACAUUUUGUCAUCUUUGUUCUUCUUUAAAGAAGUUUGUAGUGCAGUAAAACCAGAUAAGGAAAGCGUGACAGAUCUUGAGUGAUGGAUAAUAGGUAUUUAUUUGUAAAUAACUGGACAUGAAUAACUUGAGAAUAUUAGAUAAUAUUAUAAUACAGUAUAUUUCUAACUAAGUAGGCCUUUCAUUCUCUUUCUGUUGACAAGACUUUCGUUAGCACAUCAACUUAUGUAAGGCAGAUGUGAAAUGUAAAAGUCAGAGAUCAGAUGUAGCAUGACAUUUAUUUCUUAAAUGAUGCCAACAUAAACAAAGGUAGUACAAUUUCAAGCAUAGUUUUAGAGAUACAAGUCAUUUUAUGAAAGUUUGACCUUAUUUGACCUUGAAGAAGAGGUCAAAGGUCAAAAAUAAUGUGAUAUUUAGAAUCACCAUGUAUUAUUCUUUAUAUGCCUAUAUGGUUUACAUACAAGCAAUUGCAAUAAAAAUUUAGUUUUAAGUAGCCAUAUAUAGGACUAAUCAAUGUAUUGGCCUUGAAGGAGAGGUCAGAGGUCAAACGUGACAUGAUAUUUUAAACCUUUAUACUGUACUUUCUA